GGUUUCCUACGGGACGCAGCAGUGAGGAAUAUUGGUCAAUGGGCGAGAGCCUGAACCAGCCACGUCGCGUGAGGGAAGACGGUCCUAUGGAUUGUAAACCUCUUUUGCCGGGGAGCAAAAAGCGGUACGUGUACCGCAUCGAGAGUACCCGGAGAGAAAGCAUCGGCUAACUCCGUGCCAGCAGCCGCGGUAAUACGGAGGAUGCGAGCGUUAUCCGGAUUUAUUGGGUUUAAAGGGUGCGCAGGCG
Molecule: ribosomal RNA, 247 nt
Filed under: uncultured bacterium
Lineage: Bacteria
Description: partial 16S ribosomal RNA
Rfam family: Bacterial small subunit ribosomal RNA
Source: RNAcentral